UCUCUCUUUCUGUCUGUAUAAUAUAUCACAAACAGGGAGCAGACAUAGGGUGACAGAAUUGUGUGUUCCCAGGAAAGCUGGUGGGGAAAAAAAAUGAAAAGAAGUAAGAUUACAGACACCACACAGUUAUUGCCCCUGACCCGCGAGAACAGGAUUGCUCAAGGUGCCAUCCAAGGACUACCUGAAUCGGAAUCAUCCGAGGAGCUCAUUCGAUACUAGAUUUCUGAGUCAAACAGAAUCAGAAUUACUGGAGUGAGGUUCAAGAAUCUGAACUUUUAACAAGCAUGGAAAGCAUCCAAGGUGGAAAUAGAUUGUUGGCUUGCAAGGUGGGGCGAGGCAGGACUGGGGCAGCCAGGAUCCCCAGAAACUGUCACCUGCAGCCCAAGACCCCUGCUUUCCUUCACUUCCCUGUGCAAUACAAAGACUGUAAUUUUCUACAUGCGCCAUGAAGUAAAAAAGUUUCAUGGAGUUUCCAGAAUUUCCUAGAGAAUUGCUAAAUUAGUAUUUCUAGGGCAGGUUCACAGUGAUCAUUUCUAAAACUUCUACAGGACAAUCUAAUGUGCUCUGAUGCUUAAGUACCAUCGCUUUAAAACAGCAGUUCUCAACUCUUUAAGGGCAAAGAUACCCUUUCAUAACAUUUUGCAAUGUCUCCUUUAUUAUCCUAGAGUGAAAUCCAUCAACAAUAUAACUGCCUAAAUAUAAAAUUCAAAAUAAUCCAUAUAAUGCCCUAAAUAACACAAAGGGGAAACAAAAUUAAAAUGAUUUUCAUUACAUAAAUGCUCAGGUUAGUCAGACACUUGCUUGUACCUAAAGGAGAAUCAUGCUGAAAGCACAGUUCGAAUGUAGACAGACACAGCGGUAUUGAAAUGGUGACGCAGGAGCAUGAGCGCUGCUUUCUUGGAUGUGAUACUUUGAAAUAGUAAACAACUUUUAGUAAAUUUGCAAAGAAAACAAAGUAUAGUCUUCUCUUGAUUUACAUGGUAGUUACAGACCUAGAAAACUCACUGAUAUUUAAAACCAUGUAAAAAACAUUUUAUUGACAUAUCCUAAGGCUGGAUAAUUAGAGACAUAUUUUUCUCCUACAUGAAUGUCGGACAGGACAUUCGAGGCCAUACGGAAUGUAGAAUAGUUCUUCCUGGUGUGGUACCAUCCCAGGGACUAAGAGUUGUCUAGCAUCCCUCAUCACCACCUACUAAAGGCUAGUAGCCACCCACCCCUCCAUCCCCAAUCACUGUGAUAAUGAAAAAUAAACCCAGCCAUUCAACCUCUCCAAACAAUAUGAAUAGAGGUACCUGUGUCAGGCUAUAAUAUUAUUUUCCCUUGUGACACUAUCACACAUGAUAGUGACUCCAGAAUCUCUGCGUGAUUCUACCUAUACUUAUAAUAUUUUCAAAAGCAAAUAUUUACAUAAAUUCUACCAUAACAGAAAUUGCUGGUGAAAUUCUACAUGAAUGGAAUGAAAGUUUCACAGAUAUGAGAAACCUUCUUCAGAAAUUCUUGAAAAAACAAAUGCAAACUACUUUUUUUUAACAAUCAAAUUGCGUUUUCCUGUUGACAUAUUUCAAUUUCAGAGCUAUCUUCUCACUAUUAAUAUUCAGUUGGCAGUGUCUCCGAAGCAGUUCAGCUCUGCAUGUGAGUGAAAUAUACCAAACCACAGUUUAAAUGUAUUAAAUGAUUCCAAAAUGCAUCCUUUUAGUGUUAAAAUGGUUUAUAAACAGCUCAAGUAAAUUACCUUUUAAAACACAA
Long non-coding RNA from Symphalangus syndactylus (siamang), 1746 nucleotides. RefSeq lists it as uncharacterized. Lineage: Eukaryota; Metazoa; Chordata; Mammalia; Primates; Hylobatidae. The record is from RefSeq and is a predicted model, not a curated record.